Molecule: long non-coding RNA, 908 nt
Organism: Cornus florida
Lineage: Eukaryota; Viridiplantae; Streptophyta; Magnoliopsida; Cornales; Cornaceae
Exons: 4
Source: RefSeq, a predicted model, not a curated record
GAAUGGUCAUAAUCGUCGAAAGUGCAAGGCUCCUAUACCUGGAUAGAAUAGUUAUAUAAUUGCUAAUUCUAGUGGAGUUAUUUUGUAAGGUGUUAAGGCCUUAAAUAUGGAAUUAUUUUGUAAUUACUAUUAAUUCCUUGGAGCUCCCCUACUGCAUUAGUAUAACUAUGUUGUGAUAGUAUUUCUAACUUAUUUAGAAAACAUUUCUAAGUAUGAUGUAACUUAUUCUAAGUUGAAUCUGUAUUAUUCGUCUGGUGGUUUAUUUUGGUAUUGAAAUUAUUUUCCUGGGUCCUCGUAUGAGUCUCAUGUGGAGUGUUAUUUAAAAAUCAUAGGUGUGUGAGUUUUCUGGCAGCUGGAGGGUCGUGAAAGCAAGGAGGUUAUGGGAUUAUGUGACAAUGGACGGGCUUACAUGUUACAUGCUUACGGAAGGCUAGGAAAAUAACAUCAUAUUAAAGUCAUUAUGACUUGUUUCCUCACUAUUAAUUCCUUGGAGCUCCCCUACUGCAUUAUGACUGUUAUUUCAACCACAAUUUACCUCAUGAGGCUGAAUGGAUAAAUCAGUACAAAGGAAGAGUGUUCAGUUUAAACGACAAGCCUGUGGUGCAUAAAAUUUGGCUGCCGAAUGAGGAAUGCCCCAGAUUGGCAAUGUCUAGAGCCUUUGGGGACUACUUUAUUAAGGAUUUUGGACUUAUAUCCGUCCCUGAAGUGAGGUGUUGUCACAUAUAACCAGCAGAGACCAAUUUGUUGUGUUGCGAACCGAUGAGUCUUCCCGCUAGGGGCUGGGAAGAGAUAACAACGGGAGCGUCGAUUGCAUGGCUAUCAAGUACAUCAAAUUUGAAUUGGACACAAAAAUGUCGCGAUUCCCUCUCUCCGAUCAGAAACUUCGAAGGCAAAAUUUGUGCGAAAAA